RNAcentral lists this ribosomal RNA (492 nucleotides) under uncultured bacterium. RNAcentral describes it as "partial 16S ribosomal RNA". It matches the Rfam family "Bacterial small subunit ribosomal RNA", at positions 29 to 507 of the family's 1533-position model. The record is from RNAcentral.
AGUGAACGCUGGCGGUAGGCCUAACACAUGCAAGUCGAACGGCAGCACAGUAAGAGCUUGCUCUUACGGGUGGCGAGUGGCGGACGGGUGAGGAAUACAUCGGAAUCUACUUUUUCUUGGGGGAUAACGGAGGGAAACUUACGCUAAUACCGCAUACGACCUACGGGUGAAAGCAGGGGAUCUUCGGACCUUUCGCGAUUGAAUGAGCCGAUGUCGGAUUAGCUAGUUGGCUGGGUAAAGGCCCACCAAGGCAACGAUCCGUAGCUGGUCUGAGAGGAUGAUCAGCCACACUGGAACUGAGACACGGUCCAGACUCCUACGGGAGGCAGCAGUGGGGAAUAUUGGACAAUGGGCGCAAGCCUGAUCCAGCCAUACCGCGUGGGUGAAGAAGGCCUUCGGGUUGUAAAGCCCUUUUGUUGGGAAAGAAAAGCAGCAGGUUAAUACCCCGCUGUUCUGACGGUACCCAAAGAAUAAGCACCGGCUAACUUCGUG